This is a long non-coding RNA of Rhinopithecus bieti (black snub-nosed monkey), 488 nucleotides long. NCBI's taxonomy places the organism in Eukaryota, Metazoa, Chordata, Mammalia, Primates, Cercopithecidae. The record is from Ensembl.
GUGAGUUUCAAUGUGUGAAUUUUGGGAGUAUACAAACAUUCAGACCACAGCACUAGAACGGUGAUGUUUCUUAGGGGGAGAAUGAGAUGAUUUGAGGAACUUUUGUGUGAGGGCAGGAAUAAAGUCUGGAAAUAAUAGUGGAAAUGAAGAUGAUGCUUGUGCUAUUCUCUCACCUCAUGGUGGCUUGGGAGAAAAAGCAGAUCCCAGUUGACAGCCAGUAUUAUGCUGUGUUUUCUCCCUAGAGACCGUCAUUUCCAUUAGCCAGAUCAAUGUGAGGAGUGAAUGUCAUUAUCUGCUGUGCUGUCUGCAAUCCCAGAUGUAUUCACAGAGAAGCCAAUGAAUUGUUGGGGAACGGCAUACUCUGGUGACCAAAGAAUUACCACUGAGACCAUAAGCAGGUAAGUAAACUGAGGCUCAUCACAUUCAGAUGGCUCAAAGCUUCCAGAAACUUGGGACGUGCCUUUGCUGGGGAGUCUCUCCAUUUUGCA